This is a non-coding RNA of Stegodyphus mimosarum, 73 nucleotides long. NCBI's taxonomy places the organism in Eukaryota, Metazoa, Arthropoda, Arachnida, Araneae, Eresidae. The record is from Rfam.
GCCUUCGUGGUGUAGUGGUCAGCAUGCUCGGCGGGUAUUCGAGAGUUUCGUGGUUCGAGUCCCGGCGAGGGCA